Molecule: ribosomal RNA, 253 nt
Filed under: uncultured bacterium
Lineage: Bacteria
Description: partial 16S ribosomal RNA
Rfam family: Bacterial small subunit ribosomal RNA
Source: RNAcentral
GAGGGAGGAGGCAAGCGUUAUCCGGAAUUAUUGGGCGUAAAGGGUACGUAGGCGGCUGGUCAAGUCUGGGGUCAAAGGCCACAGCUCAACUGUGGGAAGGCCCUGGAAACUGACCGGCUAGAGUGAGGUAGGGGUUGCGGGAAUUCCCGGUGUAGCGGUGAAAUGCGUAGAGAUCGGGAAGAACACCUGAGGCGGAAGCGCGCAACUGGGCCACAACUGACGCUGAGGUACGAAAGCGAGGGGAGCGAAUGGG